Molecule: non-coding RNA, 244 nt
Organism: Pelobates cultripes (western spadefoot toad)
Lineage: Eukaryota; Metazoa; Chordata; Amphibia; Anura; Pelobatidae
Source: the annotation of a GenBank genome assembly
CUGCAGCAAGACUUGGUGACAACAGGCACUGAGUUUUCAGUGAGCACAGUAAGGUCCAUACUAAAUGCAGAAGGUUUCCAUGCCAGAACUCCAAGACGUACAACACUACUGACCCAAAAGCACAAGAAAAGUCGGCUACAAUAUGCUCAAUAUCAUAUCAAUAAGACACAGAACUUUUGGGAUUCUGGUUUGUGGAGCGAUGAAACAAAACUGGAAUUUUUCGAUCUAAUGGAUUAGAAGUAUG